GAGCGGUAAGGCCCUUCGGGGUACACGAGCGGCGAACGGGUGAGUAACACGUGGGUGAUCUGCCCUGUACUUCGGGAUAAGCCUGGGAAACUGGGUCUAAUACCGGAUAUGACCUUACAUCGCAUGGUGUUUGGUGGAAAGAUUUAUCGGUACAGGAUGGGCCCGCGGCCUAUCAGCUUGUUGGUGGGGUAAUGGCCUACCAAGGCGACGACGGGUAGCCGGCCUGAGAGGGCGACCGGCCACACUGGGACUGAGACACGGCCCAGACUCCUACGGGAGGCAGCAGUGGGGAAUAUUGCACAAUGGGCGAAAGCCUGAUGCAGCGACGCCGCGUGAGGGAUGACGGCCUUCGGGUUGUAAACCUCUUUCGACAGGGACGAAGCGCAAGUGACGGUACCUGUAGAAGAAGCACCGGCCAACUACGUGCCAGCAGCCGCGGUAAUACGUAGGGUGCGAGCGUUGUCCGGAAUUACUGGGCGUAAAGAGCUUGUAGGCGGUUUGUCGCGUCGUCCGUGAAAACUUGGGGCUCAACCCCAAGCUUG
Molecule: ribosomal RNA, 542 nt
Filed under: Nocardia farcinica
Lineage: Bacteria; Bacillati; Actinomycetota; Actinomycetes; Mycobacteriales; Nocardiaceae
Description: bacterial SSU rRNA
Rfam family: Bacterial small subunit ribosomal RNA
Source: RNAcentral